AGUGGACGCUGGCGGUAGGCCUAACACAUGCCGGUCGAACGGCAGCACAGUAAGAGCUUGCUCUUACGGGUGGCGAGUGGCGGACGGGUGAGGAAUACAUCGGAAUCUACUUUUUCGUGGGGGAUAACGUAGGGAAACUUACGCUAAUACCGCAUACGACCUACGGGUGAAAGCAGGGGAUCUUCGGACCUUGCGCGAUUGAAUGAGCCGAUGUCGGAUUAGCUAGUUGGCGGGGUAAAGGCCCACCAAGGCGACGAUCCGUAGCUGGUCUGAGAGGGUGAUCAGCCACACUGGAACUGAGACACGGUCCAGACUCCUACGGGAGGCAGCAGUGGGGAAUAUUGGACAAUGGGCGCAAGCCUGAUCCAGCCAUACCGCGUGGGUGAAGAAGGCCUUCGGGUUGUAAAGCCCUUUUGUUGGGAAAGAAAAGCAGCAGGUUAAUACCCCGCUGUUCUGACGGUACCCAAAGAAUAAGCACCGGCUAACUUCGUG
RNAcentral lists this ribosomal RNA (492 nucleotides) under uncultured bacterium. Its description in RNAcentral is "partial 16S ribosomal RNA". It matches the Rfam family "Bacterial small subunit ribosomal RNA", at positions 29 to 507 of the family's 1533-position model. The record is from RNAcentral.